AUGGUCCCGUGUUUAUAUUUUCAUUCAUCAAUUGGAGAAUAAUACACAGCUCUCUGAUUUUCGAGCGAACUCGAUCGAGGAGCCGCUGCUGAUUUACCGUUCGUACGACGUUCCACACUGACACACUUUACUCGUACUCGCGCGUCCCGCACCCAAAAAGGUCGAAAUCAUCAUGUGGAUGUUAGUGUUCCUGGGGCUCUACCGAUUGUGCAGACUCAGGCCGGUCUUGGGACCGGUGCUCUUCUUCAUCGUCCUUAGCGGGUACAUUUUCUAUUACCACUGGCUCAUGCUGGAAGACGAACCGGUAAAGGUACCGAGGCCGAGGUAUAGCCUCUAAAUUGACCAAGACGCAAUGGCGCGAAUCCAAGGGGGUGGGUGGAUGGAGGUAGUGGACCGAUACGGCACGAUUUUGGACGAAGGACGACGGAUCGAAGAAUGUGAACCGGCUGGAAUGAUCAGCGAACAAUCCACGGUGUAUCUUGAGGCUUCUUCCGAGGGAGCCUGAGGUUUCCGUGGAGUGAGAUGACGAGGCCGACCGUCUAGUGGCUUUUGUCGCGAUUUCAAGGAAGCCUUGAGAUUUUUGCUAAUCCAAGUAGAGUACUUGUGGUUUACGAUUUACCAAUCGUACCAUUUCAUGUAGCCGUUGAGAGAAACGGAAACAUAUUCUUGAAUGAGCUUUGGCGAUCAAGGAGAAUAACCGCGAAUACAUCACUUGGACAUCAAGAAGCGCCCGCGAGGAAGAAGCCAAAAGAGCCGAGGGGAUGUUUGUGCGAACGUAUCGGUCGGUGCGUUGGACGAGGAUGCCUUAUAAUUACUAUAACUGCGCGUCGUAAACAUAUUUUUAUUGGACGAAAACUAAUUUAUUGUAAAAAAACAAAGUAGAAUUUGUUGUACGUUACAUGUAUUAUAUAGCCGUUCACCAAUGAGUACCCUUAGUAUUUGUUUGACAAUUGCAACAAAUGUAACAAUAAUUUUUUUGUUUGCACAUAAACUAUUUUAACACUAAGGUA
This is a long non-coding RNA of Trichogramma pretiosum, 1010 nucleotides long. RefSeq lists it as uncharacterized. The transcript has 2 exons. NCBI's taxonomy places the organism in Eukaryota, Metazoa, Arthropoda, Insecta, Hymenoptera, Trichogrammatidae. The record is from RefSeq and is a predicted model, not a curated record.